This 857-nucleotide ribosomal RNA is filed under the name uncultured bacterium. RNAcentral describes it as "bacterial SSU rRNA". It matches the Rfam family "Bacterial small subunit ribosomal RNA", at positions 55 to 921 of the family's 1533-position model. The record is from RNAcentral.
AUGCAGUCGAGCGGAGAAUGCGAGAUGUUUACAUUGAGUAUUCUUAGCGGCGGACGGGUGAGUAACACGUGGGUAACCUGCCUCAGAGUGGGGGAUAGUCUUUCGAAAGGAAGAUUAAUACCGCAUAAGAUUGUAGCAUCGCAUGGUGCAGCAAGAAAAGGAGCAAUCCGCUCUGAGAUGGACCCGCGGCGCAUUAGCUAGUUGGUGAGGUAACGGCUCACCAAGGCCACGAUGCGUAGCCGACCUGAGAGGGUGAUCGGCCACAUUGGAACUGAGACACGGUCCAGACUCCUACGGGAGGCAGCAGUGGGGAAUAUUGCACAAAGGGCGAAAGCCUGAUGCAGCAACGCCGCGUGAGUGAUGAAGGCUUUCGAGUCGUAAAGCUCUUUGAUCAGGGAUGAUAAUGACAGUACCUGAAAAACAAGCCACGGCUAACUACGUGCCAGCAGCCGCGGUAAUACGUAGGUGGCGAGCGUUGUCCGGAAUUACUGGGCGUAAAGGAUGCGUAGGUGGAUAUUUAAGUGGGAUGUGAAAUCCCCGGGCUCAACCCGGGAACUGCAUUCCAAACUGGAUAUCUAGAGUGCAGGAGAGGAAAGCGGAAUUCCUAGUGUAGCGGUGAAAUGCGUAGAUAUUACGAGGAACACCAGUGGCGAAAGCGGCUUUCUGGACUGUAACUGACACUGAGGCAUGAAAGCGUGGGUAGCAAACAGGAUUAGAUACCCUGGUAGUCCACGCCGUAAACGAUGGGUACUAGGUGUAGGAGGUAUCGACCCCUUCUGUGCCGUCGUUAACACAAUAAGUACCCCGCCUGGGGAGUACGGUCGCAAGACUAAAACUCAAAGGAAUUGACGGGGGCC